RNAcentral lists this microRNA precursor (165 nucleotides) under Oryza rufipogon (brownbeard rice). RNAcentral describes it as "MIR812 microRNA precursor family". It matches the Rfam family "MIR812 microRNA precursor family", at positions 27 to 191 of the family's 205-position model. The record is from Rfam by way of RNAcentral. Lineage: Eukaryota; Viridiplantae; Streptophyta; Magnoliopsida; Poales; Poaceae.
AUCAACGUUUGACCAUUCGUUUUAUUUAAAAAAUUUAUGUAAUUAUCAUUUAUUUUAUUGUGGCUUGAUUUAUCAUCAAAUAUUCUUUAAGUAUGACAUAAAUAUUUUUAUAUUUGCACAAAAAAUUUGAAUAAGACGAAUGGUCAAACGUUGUUCGAAAAGUCA